Molecule: transfer RNA, 58 nt
Filed under: Loxodonta africana (African savanna elephant)
Lineage: Eukaryota; Metazoa; Chordata; Mammalia; Proboscidea; Elephantidae
Rfam family: tRNA
About the family: Transfer RNA (tRNA) molecules are approximately 80 nucleotides in length. Their secondary structure includes four short double-helical elements and three loops (D, anti-codon, and T loops).
Source: Rfam by way of RNAcentral
UGGCACAAUGGUGAAAGCGUUCAGUUGCUAACUGAAAGGUUGGUGGUUCGAACCCACC